RNAcentral lists this ribosomal RNA (289 nucleotides) under uncultured Ochrobactrum sp. Its description in RNAcentral is "partial 16S ribosomal RNA". It matches the Rfam family "Bacterial small subunit ribosomal RNA", at positions 1093 to 1382 of the family's 1533-position model. The record is from RNAcentral. Lineage: Bacteria; Pseudomonadati; Pseudomonadota; Alphaproteobacteria; Hyphomicrobiales; Brucellaceae.
CGAGCGCAACCCUCGCCCUUACGUUGCCAGCAUCUAGUUGGGCACUCUAAGGGGACUGCCGGUGAUAAGCCGAGAGGAAGGUGGGGAUGACGUCAAGUCCUCAUGGCCCUUACGGGCUGGGCUACACACGUGCUACAAUGGUGGUGACAGUGGGCAGCGAGCACGCGAGUGUGAGCUAAUCUCCAAAAGCCAUCUCAGUUCGGAUUGCACUCUGCAACUCGAGUGCAUGAAGUUGGAAUCGCUAGUAAUCGCGGAUCAGCAUGCCGCGGUGAAUACGUUCCCGGGCCUU